GACGAACGCUGGCGGCGUGCCUAAUACAUGCAAGUUGAGCGAUGAAGAUUGGUGCUUGCACCAAUUUGAAGAGCAGCGAACGGGUGAGUAACGCGUGGGGAAUCUGCCUUUGAGCGGGGGACAACAUUUGGAAACGAAUGCUAAUACCGCAUAAUAACUUUAAACAUAAGUUUUAAGUUUGAAAGAUGCAAUUGCAUCACUCAAAGAUGAUCCCGCGUUGUAUUAGCUAGUUGGUGAGGUAAAGGCUCACCAAGGCGAUGAUACAUAGCCGACCUGAGAGGGUGAUCGGCCACAUUGGGACUGAGACACGGCCCAAACUCCUACGGGAGGCAGCAGUAGGGAAUCUUCGGCAAUGGACGAAAGUCUGACCGAGCAACGCCGCGUGAGUGAAGAAGGUUUUCGGAUCGUAAAACUCUGUUGGUAGAGAAGAACGUUGGCGAGAGUGGAAAGCUCAUCAAGUGACGGUAACUACCCAGAAAGGGACGGCUAACUACGUG
RNAcentral lists this ribosomal RNA (497 nucleotides) under uncultured bacterium. RNAcentral's name for it is "partial 16S ribosomal RNA". It matches the Rfam family "Bacterial small subunit ribosomal RNA", at positions 28 to 507 of the family's 1533-position model. The record is from RNAcentral.